This 253-nucleotide ribosomal RNA is filed under the name uncultured bacterium. Its description in RNAcentral is "partial 16S ribosomal RNA". It matches the Rfam family "Bacterial small subunit ribosomal RNA", at positions 524 to 776 of the family's 1533-position model. The record is from RNAcentral.
UACAGAGGGUGCAAGCGUUGUUCGGAUUCACUGGGCGUAAAGGGUGCGUAGGUGGCUGGGUAAGUUUGAUGUGAAAUCUCCGGGCUUAACCCGGAAAUGACAUUGAAUACUAUCUGGCUGGAGGUUUGGAGGGGGGACUGGAAUUCUCGGUGUAGCAGUGAAAUGCGUAGAUAUCGAGAGGAACACCAGUGGCGAAGGCGAGUCCCUGGACAACACCUGACACUGAGGCACGAAAGCUAGGGGAGCAAACAGG